CCUACGGGAGGCAGCAGUGGGGAAUAUUGCACAAUGGGGGAAACCCUGAUGCAGCGACGCCGCGUGAGUGAAGAAGUAUUUCGGUAUGUAAAGCUCUAUCAGCAGGGAAGAAAUAGCGACCUUUGGGUCGCCAGACGGUACCUGACUAAGAAGCCCAGGCUAACUACGUGCCAGCAGCCGCGGUAAUACGUAGGGGGCAAGCGGUAUCCGGAUUUACUGGGUGGAGAGGGCGCGUAGACGGCAGGACAAGUCUGAAGUGAAAUGCCGGGGCUUAACCCCGGAACUGCAUUGGAAACUGUGUAGCUAGAGUGCAGGAGAGGUAAGCGGAAUUCCUAGUGUAGCGGUGAAAUGCGUAGAUAUUAGGAGGAACACCAGUGGCGAAGGCGGUUUACUGGACUGUAACUGACGUUGAGGCUCGAAAGCGUGGGGAGCAAACAGGAUUAGAUACCCGUGUAGUC
Molecule: ribosomal RNA, 458 nt
Filed under: uncultured bacterium
Lineage: Bacteria
Description: partial 16S ribosomal RNA
Rfam family: Bacterial small subunit ribosomal RNA
Source: RNAcentral